UGAAGUAUUUCCUUUCCAGUCCAGCAAGCAAGACUAAGAGCGAAGAUUUGAAUUGGAAAUCGAACUAUUUCACUGCAAAGAAAACCAUCGACGUCCAUAAAGAUUCAGAAAUUGGAGACAGUGGAGGAACUACUCGACCUUGACGAGUUGAUAAAAACUCAACCAAGCAAGAAAGAUUUGCUGACAGCCAGGCUCUCAAAGAUUGGUGGAUAUGACUUAAAGAGCUGUUUAAGCACCAUCAUGGACAGGUAUUUUCCUCUUUCUCUUUAUAUAUAUUAAAAAUAGGCGAUGUAAGACCCAAAUUCUAAUCUAUGAGUGCU
Nerophis ophidion (straightnose pipefish) is the source of this 320-nucleotide long non-coding RNA. RefSeq lists it as uncharacterized. The transcript has 3 exons. Lineage: Eukaryota; Metazoa; Chordata; Actinopteri; Syngnathiformes; Syngnathidae. The record is from RefSeq and is a predicted model, not a curated record.